GACGAAGGGGGCACGCGUUGUUCGGAAUUACUGGGCGUAAAGGGCGCGUAGGCGGCUCUUUUAGUCAGACGUGAAAUCCCUCGGCUUAACCGGGGAACUGCGUCUGAUACUGGAUGGCUAGAGGUUGGGAGAGGGAUGCGGAAUUCCAGGUGUAGCGGUGAAAUGCGUAGAUAUCUGGAGGAACACCGGUGGCGAAGGCGGCAUCCUGGACCAAUUCUGACGCUGAUGAGCGAAAGCCAGGGGAGCAAACGGG
This 253-nucleotide ribosomal RNA is filed under the name uncultured bacterium. Its description in RNAcentral is "partial 16S ribosomal RNA". It matches the Rfam family "Bacterial small subunit ribosomal RNA", at positions 524 to 776 of the family's 1533-position model. The record is from RNAcentral.